This 496-nucleotide ribosomal RNA is filed under the name uncultured bacterium. RNAcentral describes it as "partial 16S ribosomal RNA". It matches the Rfam family "Bacterial small subunit ribosomal RNA", at positions 29 to 507 of the family's 1533-position model. The record is from RNAcentral.
AUGAACGCUGGCGGCGUGCCUAAUACAUGCAAGUCGAGCGAACGGACGAGAAGCUUGCUUCUCUGAUGUUAGCGGCGGACGGGUGAGUAACACGUGGAUAACCUACCUAUAAGACUGGGAUAACUUCGGGAAACCGGAGCUAAUACCGGAUGAUAUUUUGAACCGCAUGGUUCAAAAGUGAAAGACGGUCUUGCUGUCACUUAUAGAUGGAUCCGCGCUGCAUUAGCUAGUUGGUAAGGUAACGGCUUACCAAGGCAACGAUGCAUAGCCGACCUGAGAGGAUGAUCGGCCGCACUGGAACUGAGACACGGUCCAGACUCCUACGGGAGGCAGCAGUAGGGAAUCUUCGGCAAUGGGCGGAAGCCUGACGGAGCAACGCCGCGUAAGUGAUGAAGGUCUUCGGAGCGUAAAACUCUGUUAUUAGGGAGGAACAUAUGUGUAAGUAACUGUGCACAUCUUGACGGUACCUAAUCAGAAAGCCACGGCUAACUACGUG